This 777-nucleotide ribosomal RNA is filed under the name uncultured Planctomycetota bacterium. RNAcentral describes it as "bacterial SSU rRNA". It matches the Rfam family "Bacterial small subunit ribosomal RNA", at positions 61 to 850 of the family's 1533-position model. The record is from RNAcentral. Lineage: Bacteria; Pseudomonadati; Planctomycetota.
GUCGAACGGGCCUGGUAGCAAUAUCAGGUCAGUGGCGUAAGGGUGAGUAAGGCGACGGCAACCAACCCCAUGGUUGGGCAUAGCCGCGGGAAACUGCGGGUAAUUCCCAGCGAUGUUCGUGCCGGGCAUCCGGCGUGAACCAAAGUUUCGGCGCCGUGGGACGGGCCGUCGUGGUAUUAGGUAGUUGGCGGGGUAAUGGCCCACCAAGCCUCUGAUGCCUACCGGGCGUGCGAGCGUGGCCCGGCACACUGGGACUGAGACACUGCCCAGACUCCUACGGGAGGCUGCAGUCGAGAAUCUUCGGCAAUGGGCGCAAGCCUGACCGAGCGACGCCGCGUGGAGGAUGAAGGCCUUCGGGUUGUAAACUCCUGUCGAGGGGGAGGAAGGCGCAAGCUUGACCUAUCCCUGGAGGAAGCACGGGCUAAGUUCGUGCCAGCAGCCGCGGUAAGACGAACCGUGCGAACGUUAUUCGGAAUCACUGGGCUUAAAGCGCGUGUAGGCGGAUGGGGACGUCGGUUGCUGAAAUCCCCCGGCUCAACCGGGGAACGGGCACCGAAACGCCCCGUCUGGAGGGACGUAGGGGGACCUGGAACUUCCGGUGGAGCGGUGAAAUGCGUUGAGAUCGGAAGGAACGCCCGUGGCGAAAGCGAGGUCCUGGACGUUUUCUGACGCUGAGACGCGAAAGCUAGGGUAGCGAACGGGAUUAGAUACCCCGGUAGUCCUAGCUGUAAACGAUGGGCACUGGGUAGAGGGCUCGCCGAUGGGCUCUCUGCCGUA